GAAAUGCGAUAAGUAAUGUGAAUUGCAGAAUUCAGUGAAUCAUCGAAUCUUUGAACGCACCUUGCGCUCCUUGGUAUUCCGAGGAGCAUGCCUGUUUAAGUGUCAUGGAAUUCUCAACUCUAUUUGCUUUUGUGAAUAGAGCUUGGAUUUGGAGGUUUAUUGCUGGUACUUGUGAUCGGCUCCUCUUGAAUGCAUUAGCUCGAACCUUUGCGGAUCAGCUAUCGGUGUGAUAAUUGUCUACGCCGUUGCAGUGAAGCAUAUCAAUGGGCUCGGCUUCCAAUCGUCCUUUACUGGACAAUGACUUUGACCUUUGACCUCAAAUCAGGUAGGAUUACCCGCUGAACUUAAGC
RNAcentral lists this unclassified non-coding RNA (350 nucleotides) under plant metagenome. RNAcentral's name for it is "partial contains 5.8S ribosomal RNA, internal transcribed spacer 2, and large subunit ribosomal RNA". The stretch from base 1 to 105 matches the Rfam family "5.8S ribosomal RNA", at positions 50 to 154 of the family's 154-position model. The record is from RNAcentral.